GACGAACGCUGGCGGCGUGCCUAAUACAUGCAAGUCGAACGCUGAAGGCGGAGCUUGCUCUUCUGGAUGAGUUGCGAACGGGUGAGUAACGCGUAGGUAACCUGCCUGGUAGUGGGGGAUAACUAUUGGAAACGAUAGCUAAUACCGCAUAAGAGUAGAUGUUGCAUGACAUUUGCUUAAAAGUUGCAAUUGCUUCACUACCAGAUGCACCUGCGUUGUAUUAGCUAGUUGGUGGGGUAACGGCUCACCAUGGCGGCGAUGCAUCGCCGACCGGAGAGGGGGGGCAGCCACACUGGGACUGUGACACGGCCCAGAGUCCCACGGGAGGCAGCAGGAGUGAAUCUUCGGCAAGCGGCGGAAGUCUGAGCGAGCAGCGCCGCGGGAGUGAGGAAGGUUGUCGGGUCGGAAAGCUCUGUUGUAAGGGAAGAACGAGUGUGAGAGUGGAAAGUUCACACUGUGACGGUAACUGAUCAGAAAGGGACGGCUAACUACGUG
This 495-nucleotide ribosomal RNA is filed under the name uncultured bacterium. RNAcentral describes it as "partial 16S ribosomal RNA". It matches the Rfam family "Bacterial small subunit ribosomal RNA", at positions 28 to 507 of the family's 1533-position model. The record is from RNAcentral.